RNAcentral lists this ribosomal RNA (119 nucleotides) under Triticum aestivum (bread wheat). Lineage: Eukaryota; Viridiplantae; Streptophyta; Magnoliopsida; Poales; Poaceae. The record is from RNAcentral.
GGAUGCGAUCAUACCAGCACUAAAGCACCGGAUCCCAUCAGAACUUCGAAGUUAAGCGUGCUUGGGCGAGAGUAGUACUAGGAUGGGUGACCUCCUUGGAAGUCCUCAUGUUGCAUUCC